This 789-nucleotide ribosomal RNA is filed under the name uncultured bacterium. RNAcentral describes it as "bacterial SSU rRNA". It matches the Rfam family "Bacterial small subunit ribosomal RNA", at positions 8 to 796 of the family's 1533-position model. The record is from RNAcentral.
AGAGUUUGAUCAUGGCUCAGAUUGAACGCUGGCGGCAUGCCUUACACAUGCAAGUCGAACGGCAGCGCGGGGCAACCUGGCGGCGAGUGGCGAACGGGUGAGUAAUAUAUCGGAACGUACCCUGGAGUGGGGGAUAACGUAGCGAAAGUUACGCUAAUACCGCAUACGAUCUAAGGAUGAAAGUGGGGGAUCGCAAGACCUCAUGCUCCUGGAGCGGCCGAUAUCUGAUUAGCUAGUUGGUGGGGUAAAGGCCUACCAAGGCAUCGAUCAGUAGCUGGUCUGAGAGGACGACCAGCCACACUGGAACUGAGACACGGUCCAGACUCCUACGGGAGGCAGCAGUGGGGAAUUUUGGACAAUGGGCGAAAGCCUGAUCCAGCAAUGCCGCGUGAGUGAAGAAGGCCUUCGGGUUGUAAAGCUCUUUUGUCAGGGAAGAAACGGUGAGGGCUAAUAUCCCUUGCUAAUGACGGUACCUGAAGAAUAAGCACCGGCUAACUACGUGCCAGCAGCCGCGGUAAUACGUAGGGUGCAAGCGUUAAUCGGAAUUACUGGGCGUAAAGCGUGCGCAGGCGGUUUUGUAAGUCUGUCGUGAAAUCCCCGGGCUCAACCUGGGAAUUGCGAUGGAGACUGCAAGGCUAGAAUCUGGCAGAGGGGGGUAGAAUUCCACGUAGCAGUGAAAUGCGUAGAGAUGUGGAGGAACACCGAUGGCGAAGGCAGCCCCCUGGGUCAAGAUUGACGCUCAUGCACGAAAGCGUGGGGAGCAAACAGGAUUAGAUACCCUAGUAGUCC